UUAAGCGACUAAGCGUACACGGUGGAUGCCCUGGCAGUCAGAGGCGAUGAAGGACGUGCUAAUCUGCGAUAAGCGUCGGUAAGGUGAUAUGAACCGUUAUAACCGGCGAUUUCCGAAUGGGGAAACCCAGUGUGAUUCGUCACACUAUCAUUAACUGAAUCCAUAGGUUAAUGAGGCGAACCGGGGGAACUGAAACAUCUAAGUACCCCGAGGAAAAGAAAUCAACCGAGAUUCCCCCAGUAGCGGCGAGCGAACGGGGAGCAGCCCAGAGCCUGAAUCAGUGUGUGUGUUAGUGGAAGCGUCUGGAAAGGCGCGCGAUACAGGGUGACAGCCCCGUACACAAAAAUGCACAUGCUGUGAGCUCGAUGAGUAGGGCGGGACACGUGGUAUCCUGUCUGAAUAUGGGGGGACCAUCCUCCAAGGCUAAAUACUCCUGACUGACCGAUAGUGAACCAGUACCGUGAGGGAAAGGCGAAAAGAACCCCGGCGAGGGGAGUGAAAAAGAACCUGAAACCGUGUACGUACAAGCAGUGGGAGCACGCUUAGGCGUGUGACUGCGUACCUUUUGUAUAAUGGGUCAGCGACUUAUAUUCUGUAGCAAGGUUAACCGAAUAGGGGAGCCGAAGGGAAACCGAGUCUUAACUGGGCGUUAAGUUGCAGGGUAUAGACCCGAAACCCGGUGAUCUAGCCAUGGGCAGGUUGAAGGUUGGGUAACACUAACUGGAGGACCGAACCGACUAAUGUUGAAAAAUUAGCGGAUGACUUGUGGCUGGGGGUGAAAGGCCAAUCAAACCGGGAGAUAGCUGGUUCUCCCCGAAAGCUAUUUAGGUAGCGCCUCGUGAAUUCAUCUCCGGGGGUAGAGCACUGUUUCGGCAAGGGGGUCAUCCCGACUUACCAACCCGAUGCAAACUGCGAAUACCGGAGAAUGUUAUCACGGGAGACACACGGCGGGUGCUAACGUCCGUCGUGAAGAGGGAAACAACCCAGACCGCCAGCUAAGGUCCCAAAGUCAUGGUUAAGUGGGAAACGAUGUGGGAAGGCCCAGACAGCCAGGAUGUUGGCUUAGAAGCAGCCAUCAUUUAAAGAAAGCGUAAUAGCUCACUGGUCGAGUCGGCCUGCGCGGAAGAUGUAACGGGGCUAAACCAUGCACCGAAGCUGCGGCAGCGACGCUUAUGCGUUGUUGGGUAGGGGAGCGUUCUGUAAGCCUGCGAAGGUGUGCUGUGAGGCAUGCUGGAGGUAUCAGAAGUGCGAAUGCUGACAUAAGUAACGAUAAAGCGGGUGAAAAGCCCGCUCGCCGGAAGACCAAGGGUUCCUGUCCAACGUUAAUCGGGGCAGGGUGAGUCGACCCCUAAGGCGAGGCCGAAAGGCGUAGUCGAUGGGAAACAGGUUAAUAUUCCUGUACUUGGUGUUACUGCGAAGGGGGGACGGAGAAGGCUAUGUUGGCCGGGCGACGGUUGUCCCGGUUUAAGCGUGUAGGCUGGUUUUCCAGGCAAAUCCGGAAAAUCAAGGCUGAGGCGUGAUGACGAGGCACUACGGUGCUGAAGCAACAAAUGCCCUGCUUCCAGGAAAAGCCUCUAAGCAUCAGGUAACAUCAAAUCGUACCCCAAACCGACACAGGUGGUCAGGUAGAGAAUACCAAGGCGCUUGAGAGAACUCGGGUGAAGGAACUAGGCAAAAUGGUGCCGUAACUUCGGGAGAAGGCACGCUGAUAUGUAGGUGAAGUCCCUCGCGGAUGGAGCUGAAAUCAGUCGAAGAUACCAGCUGGCUGCAACUGUUUAUUAAAAACACAGCACUGUGCAAACACGAAAGUGGACGUAUACGGUGUGACGCCUGCCCGGUGCCGGAAGGUUAAUUGAUGGGGUUAGCGCAAGCGAAGCUCUUGAUCGAAGCCCCGGUAAACGGCGGCCGUAACUAUAACGGUCCUAAGGUAGCGAAAUUCCUUGUCGGGUAAGUUCCGACCUGCACGAAUGGCGUAAUGAUGGCCAGGCUGUCUCCACCCGAGACUCAGUGAAAUUGAACUCGCUGUGAAGAUGCAGUGUACCCGCGGCAAGACGGAAAGACCCCGUGAACCUUUACUAUAGCUUGACACUGAACAUUGAGCCUUGAUG
RNAcentral lists this ribosomal RNA (2108 nucleotides) under Escherichia coli. RNAcentral's name for it is "bacterial LSU rRNA". It matches the Rfam family "Bacterial large subunit ribosomal RNA", at positions 1 to 2136 of the family's 2925-position model. The record is from RNAcentral. Lineage: Bacteria; Pseudomonadati; Pseudomonadota; Gammaproteobacteria; Enterobacterales; Enterobacteriaceae.